RNAcentral lists this ribosomal RNA (400 nucleotides) under uncultured bacterium. RNAcentral describes it as "bacterial SSU rRNA". It matches the Rfam family "Bacterial small subunit ribosomal RNA", at positions 355 to 750 of the family's 1533-position model. The record is from RNAcentral.
UCGAGAAUCUUCGGCAAUGGGGGAAACCCUGACCGAGCGACGCCGCGUGUGGGAUGAAGGCCCUUGGGUUGUAAACCACUGUCAGAGGGGAUGAAGUGCACGUGAGCAAUCUCAUGUGUUUGACAUAGCCUCAGAGGAAGCACGGGCUAAGUUCGUGCCAGCAGCCGCGGUAAUACGAACUGUGCAAACGUUAUUCGGAAUCACUGGGCUUACAGGGUGCGUAGGCGGCUUGUUAAGCAGGGUGUGAAAGCCCUCGGCUCAACCGAGGAAUUGCGCCUUGAACUGGCGAGCUGGAGUGGGACAGAGGUGCGCGGAACUUCCAGUGGAGCGGUGAAAUGUGUUGAUAUUGGAAGGAACGCCGGAGGCGAAAGCGGCGCACUGGGUCUCAACUGACGCUGAG